This 374-nucleotide ribosomal RNA is filed under the name uncultured organism. RNAcentral describes it as "bacterial SSU rRNA". It matches the Rfam family "Bacterial small subunit ribosomal RNA", at positions 526 to 896 of the family's 1533-position model. The record is from RNAcentral.
CGUAGGGACCAAGCGUUGUUCGGAUUUACUGGGCGUAAAGGGCGCGUAGGCGGCUUGACAAGUCACUUGUGAAAUCUCCGGGGCUUAACUCGGAACGGCCAAGUGAAACUGUCAUGCUAGAGUGCAGAAGGGGCAAUCGGAAUUCUUGGUGUAGCGGUGAAAUGCGUAGAUAUCAAGAGGAACACCUGAGGUGAAGACGGGUUGCUGGGCUGACACUGACGCUGAGGCGCGAAAGCCAGGGGAGCAAACGGGAUUAGAUACCCCGGUAGUCCUGGCCCUAAACGAUGAAUACUUGGUGUCUGGAGUAAAUAGUGCUCCGGGUGCCGUCGCUAACGUUUUUAGUAUUCCGCCUGGGGAGUACGCUCGCAAGAGUG